This 253-nucleotide ribosomal RNA is filed under the name uncultured bacterium. RNAcentral describes it as "partial 16S ribosomal RNA". It matches the Rfam family "Bacterial small subunit ribosomal RNA", at positions 524 to 776 of the family's 1533-position model. The record is from RNAcentral.
GACGAGGGGGCUAGCGUUGCUCGGAAUCACUGGGCGUAAAGGGCGCGUAGGCGGACUCUUAAGUCGGGGGUGAAAGCCCAGGGCUCAACCCUGGAAUUGCCUUCGAUACUGAGAGUCUUGAGUUCGGAAGAGGUUGGUGGAACUGCGAGUGUAGAGGUGAAAUUCGUAGAUAUUCGCAAGAACACCAGUGGCGAAGGCGGCGCUCUGGGCCGGUACUGACGCUGGAGGAGCGAAAGCGUGGGGAGCAAACAGG